CGUUUGCGAUGCCUCCUCCAACAGGCAGCUCCAGCAUGAGGCCAGGGGCAGGGGCAGGGGCAGAGACAGGCAGCAGCAGGGGCUUCCUCUCCUCUCUCCACAGGUGAACCACUCACCGACCCCAAGCCCCCACCCAGUAGGACCCACUCAGCAGGUAGCAGUGGAGACAGAGGCCGCCUGGGGCAUGCUGGCUGGACAGGAGCUGUCCACUCCCCAAAUGCUGCCAGGCCCCUUCAGAUGGAGGAGUCCAGGCUGUGACAGCCAGGUGGCCCGCGGGGAACUGCUAGAAGGGGCCGGGGAGAAAGGGGGGGAUCGGCGAUGUCCCGCGAGCGGAUCCACAGGCUCUGGUCACCGCGGCGGAUGCGGCUCGUUGUUCACCGUGAACUUCCACCAGUCCCCCGCCUUGUCCGCCUUCAGGAUGUGGAUCUGGACGGCUGCAAGGAAGCACAGGCAGACGGGGCCAAGAAGCCUUGCCUCCCACGCUGUGAGGGUGCCACCCAGCACUGCCGUCGGGACAAGCCAUCUCCUGGCCUUGUCAAGGCCCACUUUGUCCAGGAAGCCUACAGGUGCUGACCACGCCCCCAGCACUCUGGGCAAGCUGUCUGCCCAGGGCAGGCGCUCGGGACUGAGCUGAAUACGAAUGAGCUCGGGAUAUGGCUGUUUCUGCCGUGCUGGACACCUCGGACCCCUUGUACAGCUGUGGUGUCCCCAGCCAGCAUGGGCUGGAGCAGCCCA
This 735-nucleotide long non-coding RNA is filed under the name Homo sapiens (human). Its description in RNAcentral is "long non-coding RNA NONHSAT175925.1". The record is from RNAcentral. Lineage: Eukaryota; Metazoa; Chordata; Mammalia; Primates; Hominidae.